This 208-nucleotide ribosomal RNA is filed under the name uncultured bacterium. RNAcentral describes it as "partial 16S ribosomal RNA". It matches the Rfam family "Bacterial small subunit ribosomal RNA", at positions 1294 to 1500 of the family's 1533-position model. The record is from RNAcentral.
CGGAUUGCAGUCUGCAACUCGACUGCAUGAAGCCGGAAUCGCUAGUAAUCGCGGAUCAGAAUGCCGCGGUGAAUACGUUCCCGGGUCUUGUACACACCGCCCGUCACACCAUGGGAGUCGGAAAUGCCCGAAGCCGGUGGCCUAACCGAUAAGGGAGGAGCCGUCGAAGGCAGGUCUGAUGACUGGGGUGAAGUCGUAACAAGGUACC